This 420-nucleotide long non-coding RNA is filed under the name Pan troglodytes (chimpanzee). RNAcentral's name for it is "lincRNA". The record is from RNAcentral. Lineage: Eukaryota; Metazoa; Chordata; Mammalia; Primates; Hominidae.
AGGUACACCACCAGGAAGAAACAACAGCAGCAAGAAAUCUCAGACAGAUCGCCGGGGAGGCAGCGCGGGAAUCCAGCCUCAGGAGUGCGCGGACGGUGUGCCGUGCACACAACCAAGCUUAGGAGCCGACUGUUAAGAUGCCCAAGUGACACGGACAAGUUUCUCCUCUGCAACCCAAUGAGAUCUGCUGACCACGAGAGCAUCGCGGGACCGCCAAAGGAUUCUGGAAAAUGUGGUCCCGGGUGGCCAGUGUGCGCUGACCUUCACCUGAAGGUACGGCUUGAAGGAAACUUCUGGAGGGUGGGGUGGUGUUGAAGAGAAGGCACAGUUGUAACCAUUUUGUUCAACAUGGGCGUUUUCUUUGUGCAUUGAUUUGCAUUUUUAAAGGUAUUCCAUUAAAAAUAUGUUUAUCUAUUUUAA